This is a long non-coding RNA of Populus trichocarpa (black cottonwood), 501 nucleotides long. RefSeq lists it as uncharacterized. The record is from RefSeq and is a predicted model, not a curated record. The transcript has 2 exons. NCBI's taxonomy places the organism in Eukaryota, Viridiplantae, Streptophyta, Magnoliopsida, Malpighiales, Salicaceae.
GAAAGGACCGUGGGGGGAGGCAUAUAUAUGGAGAUUAUUGAAGAGUGUCCUCUGUGGACCAACCUCUGCUAUCAGUGAACGUUGUCGGCAUUUUAAAUAAUCGAGGGCAAUAGUAUCGAUCCAAACAUGCCUGUAUCGGUUUAAUUAGACAUUGGAAAGUCGUCCACUUAACAAAACCACGGGGCGUUGAUUCGAGAACUUGGCUAGCAGGCUAGGCGUUCAGAGAUUAGUCAAAGGCUGCUUUUGUGCAAGCCAAAGUAUCUGCCAUAACAAGCUGGCGCCGGAGUGAUUGAUCAAUCUCACCGUCCCGUAUGUUAGAAAUGAAUUAAUUACCUGAUUGAUUGUGAAAUUAAUCCAUGCAAGCCGGUGAUUAAUGGGGCCUAGCAAGCAGCAAAUGACAUAUAUAGAAUAGGGUGGAAUCUCAUGCUAGCUAGGGUCACUUGUGUAUGUCUUGCAUGAUUUUUCAUCUACGUCAAUCACACAUAUAAAAUUUAACUGUCA